UACAGAGGCCACGAGCGUUAUGCGGAAUCACUGGGCUUAAAGCGUGUGUAGGCGGAUGGCUAAGUCACUUGUGAAAUCCCACGACUCAAUCGUGGAACUGCUUGGUAUACUGGUUGUCUUGAGUUACUCAGGGGCGAGCGGAACAGAUGGUGGAGCGGUGAAAUGCGUAGAUAUCAUCUGGAACGCCAAUGGUGAAGACAGCUCGCUGGGGGUAUUCUGACACUGAGACACGAAAGCCAGGGGAGCAAACGGG
This 253-nucleotide ribosomal RNA is filed under the name uncultured bacterium. RNAcentral's name for it is "partial 16S ribosomal RNA". It matches the Rfam family "Bacterial small subunit ribosomal RNA", at positions 524 to 776 of the family's 1533-position model. The record is from RNAcentral.